GAGAGAUGGCUGAGUGGUUGAUAGCCCCGRUCUUGAAAACCGGUAAAUUU
This 50-nucleotide transfer RNA is filed under the name Anathallis paranapiacabensis. RNAcentral describes it as "partial tRNA-Ser". The record is from RNAcentral. Lineage: Eukaryota; Viridiplantae; Streptophyta; Magnoliopsida; Asparagales; Orchidaceae.